This 123-nucleotide small nucleolar RNA is filed under the name Ochotona princeps (American pika). RNAcentral's name for it is "Small nucleolar RNA SNORA74 (ENSOPRG00000024061.1)". Lineage: Eukaryota; Metazoa; Chordata; Mammalia; Lagomorpha; Ochotonidae. The record is from RNAcentral.
CCUAGCUGUAAGCAACUGCCUAGAUUGCGUUGUAUCUAGGCAAGUGUUACACUGCUGGGAGAAAAGUAGCAAGUAGCUGGCGGGCGUUCUGGGUCUGGUUAAUGCCAAAUGUGUGCUAACUAU